CCGCGGUAAUACGGGGGGGGCGAGCGUUGUGCGGAAUUACUGGGCGUAAAGGGCUCGUAGGCGGCCUUCCAAGUCGGACGUGAAAUCCCCCGGCUCAACCUGGGAACUGCGUCCGAUACUGGCUGGUUGGAAUCCGGGAGAGGGAUGCGGAAUUCCAGGUGUAGCGGUGAAAUGCGUAGAUAUCUGGAGGAACACCGGUGGCGAAGGCGGCAUCCUGGACCGGCAUUGACGCUGAGGAGCGAAAGCCAGGGGAGCAAACGGG
RNAcentral lists this ribosomal RNA (262 nucleotides) under uncultured bacterium. RNAcentral's name for it is "partial 16S ribosomal RNA". It matches the Rfam family "Bacterial small subunit ribosomal RNA", at positions 515 to 776 of the family's 1533-position model. The record is from RNAcentral.